GGCUGUCUGCAGGGGAGGAAACUGAAGAUCAGAGAGGUUAGACAGCUCGCUCAAGGUCACCAGCUGGCCAAGGGGGAGACCAACUUGACCGGAGGUCUCCAGUGUCCAAGUCACAAGCUCUUUGCACCGCCUCGGACAGCCCAGGUGUCAAGUUGUCUCAACUUCCCAUGAAUUUUUAAGGCAAGCGCAACUUCUCACUGUCUCCCCGCAGGUACCUGGUAAACCAUCCCCUGUCGCCUGCGGAACGGGGAGGGUUUACUGGCGCUGGAGUUCAUGCCAGGCCCAGGAAAUGCCAUCUUUGAAAGCCGAGAGGCGGAUUCGCCCGGGGAGCUCAGAAGGUCUGGCCGCCGAGCUUGGCUGGCUCCCCACGGGCGGCGCCC
Molecule: long non-coding RNA, 380 nt
Organism: Myotis brandtii (Brandt's bat)
Lineage: Eukaryota; Metazoa; Chordata; Mammalia; Chiroptera; Vespertilionidae
Exons: 3
Source: RefSeq, a predicted model, not a curated record